Molecule: ribosomal RNA, 492 nt
Filed under: uncultured bacterium
Lineage: Bacteria
Description: partial 16S ribosomal RNA
Rfam family: Bacterial small subunit ribosomal RNA
Source: RNAcentral
AGUGAACGCUGGCGGUAGGCCUAACACAUGCAAGUCGAACGGCAGCACAGUAAGAGCUUGCUCUUACGGGUGGCGAGUGGCGGACGGGUGAGGAAUACAUCGGAAUCUACUUUUUCGUGGGGGAUAACGUAGGGAAACUUACGCUAAUACCGCAUACGCCCUACGGUUGAAAGCAGGGGAUCUUCGGACCUUGCGCGAUUGAAUGAGCCGAUGUCGGAUUAGCUAGUUGGCGGGUUAAAGGCCCACCAAGGCGACGAUCCGUAGCUGGUCUGAGAGGAUGAUCAGCCACACUGGAACUGAGACACGGUCCAGACUCCUACGGGAGGCAGCAGUGGGGAAUAUUGGACAAUGGGCGCAAGCCUGAUCCAGCCAUACCGCGUGGGUGAAGAAGGCCUUCGGGUUGUAAAGCCCUUUUGUUGGGAAAGAAAAGCAGCAGGUUAAUACCCCGCUGUUCUGACGGUACCCAAAGAAUAAGCACCGGCUAACUUCGUG